Molecule: ribosomal RNA, 186 nt
Filed under: uncultured Streptococcaceae bacterium
Lineage: Bacteria; Bacillati; Bacillota; Bacilli; Lactobacillales; Streptococcaceae
Description: partial 16S ribosomal RNA
Rfam family: Bacterial small subunit ribosomal RNA
Source: RNAcentral
GAAACGAUAGCUAAUACCGCAUAAAAGUCGACAUCGCAUGAUGUUGACUUGAAAGGUGCAAUUGCAUCACUAAGAGAUGGACCUGCGUUGUAUUAGCUAGUUGGUGAGGUAACGGCUCACCAAGGCGACGAUACAUAGCCGACCUGAGAGGGUGAUCAGCCACACUGGGACUGAGACACGGCCCAG